This 89-nucleotide unclassified non-coding RNA is filed under the name Pseudomonas kilonensis. Lineage: Bacteria; Pseudomonadati; Pseudomonadota; Gammaproteobacteria; Pseudomonadales; Pseudomonadaceae. The record is from RNAcentral.
UGUGGGAGCGGGCUUGCUCGCGAAGGCGGCGUGUCAGUCAAAUGAGUAUCAACUGAUACACCGCCUUCGCGAGCAAGCCCGCUCCCACA